GCAGGUGGUGCGGAGAAGAAAGUUUAAAGAGGUGCGUGGAUAAGCUCCGUAUAUUUAUGCCCAUAAAAUUGUGGAAGAAAAUACAAUAAAUGUUUGGUAGAGGUUGUCUCUGAGUGGUAAUUAUGUUAUUUUUAUUUUUGUCUUAGAUUUUUCCACAAUGAACAUUUAUUUUCAUAAGAACAAAAAAAGACAAAAGUAAAAAUAACUAAUGCUUAUAUAACAUUUACUCUGCGCCAGGUGUUGCAAAAUCCUUUUGUUGUUGGCUGCAGCGUGCAGCGGCUUGAUGUGGGAUCUCAGUUCGCAGACCAGUAGCAGUGAAGCUCUGAGUCCUGACUGCUGUACCACCAGGGAACUCCCGAUAUAUUAACUGAUUUAAUUCUCACGCAGUCCUAGCAGAAAGUAUCAGUACUCUCAUCAUUUUAUAGAUGAAGAAAGUGAGGCACAGAAAGGUUCCCAAGGUCCCAGAGCCAGUUAAUUACAGAGCCAAGAUGAUAACUGAGACCAUGGCUCCAGAGUCCUUAGGAAAGUAGGUCUCACAGCUUAUCAGGAACUUUUCCUCUCUUUUCUCCUUGUGGAAAAACAGAUUCUUAAAGUUCCCUAAACACCACCUCCUACAUGAAGUCUUCCUGGUCUACCCAUCUUCCUUCAUAGCUGUUAGCUCCUUCCAUGUCAGUACUUCCUUUUUGCAACUGAGUUGCAGUUUGUGCCACACAAGUAGGUUAAGUUGAUUUUGUGUGUGUGUGUGCCAUUUUAACUAUUUUUAAGCAUGCAGUUCAUUGUCAUUAACUACAUUCACAAUGUUGCGCAACCAUCACUGCUGUAUGUUUCCAAAACUUUUUCAUGAGUGCAAGCAGAAACCCUGUUAACUAUUAAGCAAUAACUCCCCAUUCUUCUUUCUCCCCAUUCCUUGGUAACCCCUAACUUACUUUCCGUCUCUAUGGAUUUGCCUGUUCUAGAUAUUUCAUGUCAGCUGAAUUUUACAGUAUAUGUCCUUUUGUGUCUGGCUUAUACUUAGCAUAGUGUUUUCAAAGUUCAUCCAUGUUGUAUGUGUCAGAAAUUCAUUAUGGCUGAUUAAUGUUCUGUUGCAUGGAUAUACCACAUUUUGUUUAUCCAUUCAUCCGUCAAUAAACACUUGGGGAGUUCCCGUUGCAGCUCAGCGAUAAUGAACCCAACUAGUAUCCACGAGGAUCAGGGUUCAAUCCCUGGCCCCGCUCAGUGGGUUAAGGAUCUGGUGUUGCCGAGAGUUUCAGUAUAGGUUGAAGACGUGGCUCAGAGCCUGAGACAUGGGUCAGAUGCUGUGGCUGUGACCUGCAUCUGCAGCUCCAAUUCGACCCUUAGCCUGGGAACUUCCAUAUACUGCAGGUGCAGCCCUAAAAAGGAACAAAAGACCAACAAGAAAAACCACUUGGGUUGUUUCUACCUUUUGGCUAAUGUAGAUAAUGCUGUAAAGAACACUGGCAUUUAGUGAUCUAUUUUGAGUUCCUCUUUUUUGUUUGUUUGUUUUUGUUUUUUGUCUUUUUGCCUUUUCUAUAGGGCUGUUCCCGCGGCAUAUGGAGGUUCCCAGGCUGGUGGCUACAGCUCCCACUCGAUCCCUAGCUUGGGAACCUCCAUAUGCCGCGGGAGCAGCCCAAGAAAUAGCAAAAAGACAAAAAAAAAAAAAAACCAAAAAAGACCUUGGUGCUGACUGUUGCUGCAGCCUAAAUGCAGCCCUCCUCUCAAUCCUCGACUGGCUCUUUCCCAUCCUCAGGUUUCAGUUCAAUUCUUUUAAUUUUUUAUCAAUUUGUUUCUUUUAUUUAUUUUUUGCUUUUUUGAGGGGCACCUGCAGCAUAUGGAAGUUUCCAGGCAAGGGGUCCAUUCGGAGCUGCAGCUGCUGGCCUACACCACAACAGCAGCAAUGCCAGAUCCUUAACCACUGAAAGAGGCCAGGGAUCGCACCCAAUCCUCAUGGAUAUCAGUUGGGUUCGUAACCCGCUGAGCCACAACGAGAACUCUCAGAUUUCAAUUCAAAUGACACCUCUGGGAGUUCUCUUAUGGUGCAGUGGGUUAGUUAAGGAUCCAGGGUUGUCAGUGCUGCCACUCGGAUCACUGAUGUGGCUUGGAUUCGAUCCCUGGCCCAAGAACUUCCACAUGCCCUGAGCACAGCCAAAACAAAGAAAUGCACUUCUUCAGUGAGUCCUUUCACCACCCUCUAAACCAGUAGCGCUGAUCCUACAGUCACUCUCUAUGUCAUCCCUCUUUUAUUUUCCUUGUAGCACUUAGCACUCUUUGAGAUAGUUUUCUUUACUUGGUGAACUUGUUCAGAGACUGUUUUACUAGAUAUGAGCUCCAGAAGUGUGCACGCCCUGUCUAUCCUGUUUGCUGCUCUGUGCAAACAGUAGUGCUUAGUACACAGUAGGCCUUCAGCAAUUACUAGAUAAAUGAGUGAAUGAAUGCCCGUAUGCAUUUUUUUUUUUUGUCUUUUCUUUUCUUUUUUUUUUGCUAUUUCUUGGGCCGCUCCCGCAGCAUAUGGAGGUUCCCAGGCUAGGGGUUGAAUCGGAGCUGUAGCCACCGGCCUACGCCAAAGCCACAGCAGCUCAGGAUCCGAGCCGCAUCUGCAACCUACACCACAGCUCACGGCAACGCUGGAUUGUUAACCCACUGAGCAAGGGCAGGGACCGAAUCCGAAACCUCAUGGUUCCUAGUCGGAUUCGUUAACCACUGCGCCACGACGGGAACUCCCCCGUAUGCAUUUUUGAAUCAUUUUCGGAUGUCUGUCAAGUCUGUAUGUUAAUGUGUGCUCAACUCAAAUAGGCCUUAUGUCAACUCUGGCUCCCUCCACUCUUCCCUGAGCUCUGGAGGGCAGGAACCAUGUCCAAUCCAUCAUUGCACCUUGGAGCAGUUCUGCAAGUGCACUGCCUACAGUGAAGGGCCAGAAUUUUAAAUUUCCAGUCCACUGCAGACUGGUACUUUUGAAAAAUACAGUAACAAUGUUAGGGAAAUGUCAGCUUGCUAGAAAACUUUUUGAAAGCUUAUUCUCGAUUUCUGUGCUUAUAGUGUCCUGAGCAGGUGAUGAACAGUUUACAGUUUGAGUCACACUGCCUUAGAGGUCCGCACAAUACAUGGUAGGUAGAUGUCAGUGUUUAGAACACUGACUUUUUCUUUCUUCCUCCCUCUCUUUCUUUUCUUCCUUCCCUUCCUUCCUUUCUUCUUUCACCACCCCACAACACAUGGAGUUCCCAAGCCAGGGAUCAGAUCUGAGCUGCAGUUGCAACCCAGGCCACAGCUUCGGCAAUGCAGGCUCCUUUAACCCACUGUGCCAGGGUGAGGAUCAAACCUGCAUUCCAGGGCUACAGAGAUGCUGCCCAUCCUGUUGCACCAUAGCAGGAACUCCUGCCUUGACCUCUUAGAAAACCAAGACAUCAUCUACAUGGGAUUAAAGACAAAGAAGGAGGGGAACAGGGGAACAGACUUCGUUUAUUGCAAAACAUCUAGUAAAUGCCAACUGUUAGAUUGAUGCUGUCCACUGGAAAUUUUUUUUUUUAAGGCCGCACCUGCUGCAUAUGAAGUUCCCAGGCUAGGGGCCCAAUCGGAGCUGUAGCUUCCGGCCUUUGCCACAGCCAUAGCAACUUGGGAUCUGAGCCACAAUGCAACUUACACCACAGCUCACGGCAACGCCAGAUCUUUAAUUCAUGGAGCAAGGCCGGGGAUCGAACCCACAUCCUCAUGGAUACUAGUCCAGUUCAUUACCGCUGAGCCACAACAGAACUCCUGCAACUUUUUGCGGCAAUGUAGAUGUUUUAUAACUGUGCUAUCCAAUAUGAUGGCCACUAGCCACAUGUGUCUGUUGAACACUUGUAAUGUGGCAAGUCAAGGAAUCAAAUUUUCUGUUUUUAUUUUAGUUAAUUUAAAUAGCCACAUAUAACUAUUAGCAAACACUUUUUUUUUUCUUUUUUGUAUGUACCUGCUGCAUGUGAAAGUUCCCAGACCAGGGAUCGAACCCACGUCACAGUUGCAGCCUUUGCCACAGCUAUGGCAAUGCCAGACCCUUAACCUACAAGGGAACUUCCUAAUGGCAAAUACUUUUGAUAGUGCAGUUAUAACAAGUUAUAUCUUUGAAAACAAAAUGCCUCCAUCUUUAGCACCUGAUAUCCAAUCAGUUUCCAAGAUGUGUCCGCUCUUCUGCCUAAAUGUUGGUCCAGUCAGACCUUUCUCCAUCCCCCAACUCAGUGGAUAGUAAUCCUGCUCAGAGUCAUGCAUCCUUGAUUUCUCCCUCUCCUUAAAUACUCCCUCUCCCUAAAUAUUCCCUCUGCAACCUCCAAUUUAUCACCACGUCCUCUCAGUAUUAUCUCUUAAGCACCUUACAGUCCCCUCUAAUUCUCCAUCUCUACCACCACCAUUACCUCUCACCUAGACAGUAGCCCCCAAACCAGCUUCCUUGCAUCAGGUCUUGCUCACCAUUCCCAGCCCCUAGUGCUCUUCGGAAAACCCUUGAGUGGCUCCCCAUUAUUUAUUAGGAUAAAGACAAACCUCUUCCUGAGCCUACAACCCCCUCCAUAGUCCUUGGUCUGGCCCUAUUCCUACUGCUGACUAGGUCAAACCCUUCCUUCCUUCCUUCCUUCUCACUCUCUUUCUCGCUUGCUUUCUUUCUUUUUUUUUUUUUUUUUCAUUUUUUCAUAGAAGGCUGUCUUGAUCAAUGCAGUUCUUCUUUGAGCAUCAGGCAUAGUUUCUUUCUUUUUUUUUUUAGUUUUUAGGGCCGUACCUGUGGCAUAUGGAGGUUCCCAGGCUAGGGGUCAAAUCGGAGCUAGAGCUGCUGGCCUACAUCUCAGCCACAGCAAAGGCAGAACGGAACCGCAUCUGCAACCUACACCACAACUCACAGCAACGCUGGAUCCUUAACCCACUGAGCAAGGCCAGGGAUCAAACCUGCAACCUCAUGGUUAUUAGUUGGAUUCGUUUCUGCUGCACCAUGAUGGGAACUCCAGGCACAGUUUCAACUUUACUUUCAUUUGUAUUGAGUUGAUUAAUGGUCUUCCACACUCCCCCAACUAGACUACCAGCUCUGUGAGGACCAAGAAUGGGCUGGUUUUGCUCAACAUUUUAUUCCCCUGCCUCACACCUGGUGAUGAUGUUCAAUAAAUAUUUGUUAUAACGGCAGUUUAGGGAGUUCCCUGGUGGCUCAGCAGGUUAAGCCAGCAUUGUCACUGCUGUAGCUCUGGUUACUGCUGUGGUGAAGAUUUGAUCCCUGGUCCAGAAAGCUCUGCAUGCCAAGGGCGUGGCCAAAAAAAAAAAAAAAAAA
RNAcentral lists this long non-coding RNA (5275 nucleotides) under Sus scrofa (pig). RNAcentral describes it as "lncRNA (ENSSSCG00035023157.1)". Lineage: Eukaryota; Metazoa; Chordata; Mammalia; Artiodactyla; Suidae. The record is from RNAcentral.